This 201-nucleotide unclassified non-coding RNA is filed under the name Hevea brasiliensis (rubber tree). The record is from RNAcentral. Lineage: Eukaryota; Viridiplantae; Streptophyta; Magnoliopsida; Malpighiales; Euphorbiaceae.
CCGGUCCAACUGAAAUACCAGGGGAUGAAGGCGAGCAGCGCGACCAGAUGGUAAAACAGGAUGGGGAGGGCGGCCCCCCAUUCGAUGCGGUUGAGAUUGACCCCUGCGGGCAGCGGCAGACGGCCGGACAAUCCGGGCUCCGCGGUGCCGGGGAGGGGGACGGCUUUCGCGGCCGCCGGACGAUUGUUAGUCAUUUCAGCG